Molecule: ribosomal RNA, 481 nt
Filed under: uncultured bacterium
Lineage: Bacteria
Description: SSU rRNA
Rfam family: Bacterial small subunit ribosomal RNA
Source: RNAcentral
AGGACGAACGCUGGCGGCGUGCUUAACACAUGCAAGUCGAGCGGUAAGGCCCUUUCGGGGGUACACGAGCGGCGAACGGGUGAGUAACACGUGGGUGACCUGCCCUUAGCUCUGGGAUAAGCCUGGGAAACUGGGUCUAAUACCGGAUAUGACCUCAUGACGCAUGUUGUGGGGUGGAAAGCCUUGUGCGGCUAGGGAUGGGCCCGCGGCCUAUCAGCUUGUUGGUGGGGUGAUGGCCUACCAAGGCGACGACGGGUAGCCGGCCUGAGAGGGCGACCGGCCACACUGGGACUGAGACACGGCCCAGACUCCUACGGGAGGCAGCAGUGGGGAAUCUUGCGCAAUGGGCGAAAGCCUGACGCAGCGACGCCGCGUGAGGGAUGACGGCCUUCGGGUUGUAAACCUCUUUCAGCCCUGACGAAGCGAAGUGACGGUAGGGCAGAAGAAGCACCGGCCAACUACGCGCCAGCAGCCGCGGUAA